GCUAGAUCAUAGAAUCAUAGAUUUAAAGUAGAGGCCAAGGAGUCCCUUCAUCUUGCAGAUAGGGCAUUAGGCCCCAAGUGACUUGCCACUAACAAUGUAGUAGUGUGCCUGUCCCUCCACAACCCAUCUGACAUGGAGUGUUGCCUUCUUUUGUCCUCUCUGCCAUCCCUUUCACUUUUAAUCUAUGAUCCUAUGAGAUUAUAUGCUUUUUGUACAGGUAAGAGUGUACAACUGCACUAAUACCUUGGGGACACCGUGACCCUAAGAGGUGGGCGGUGGGAGCAAAUCACAGUCUUAGUUGUGUAGUGAAUCCAAUUGAGAUUGCAACCUCGACCCUUCCCCCACUAGGGGGCGGAGAAUUUCCUGUUCGAAACUCAAGGCGGGAAGAUGAGGGGGAAGAGAAAAGAGGAUAAAAAAAGGAAACCACGUGCAUGUCCUCGUGACCCGGAAGCAAACUCCUUUGCUCUUUUCCCCGUCCCGUCACUUCCGCCACCCCUCUGUCAGCGGGAGGGAUACAGCUUAUUGGUCCGGCCUGUAGCUUCAGCUGCUGGCUUCGCCGCCGCCAUCACCAUGAUUCAGUUUUUGCUAGGAUUUACACUCGGCAAUGUGGUCGGGAUGUAUCUGGCUCAGAACUAUGACGUAAGUGGCUGUCAUACAAGACCUUUUGUCUCUGUUGAAGUGUUUUAA
Molecule: long non-coding RNA, 687 nt
Filed under: Phascolarctos cinereus (koala)
Lineage: Eukaryota; Metazoa; Chordata; Mammalia; Diprotodontia; Phascolarctidae
Description: lncRNA (ENSPCIG00000029616.2)
Source: RNAcentral